RNAcentral lists this transfer RNA (33 nucleotides) under Acanthodactylus erythrurus. Its description in RNAcentral is "partial tRNA-Thr". The record is from RNAcentral. Lineage: Eukaryota; Metazoa; Chordata; Lepidosauria; Squamata; Lacertidae.
AUGUUUUAGUAGCUUAAGCUGCUUAAAGCCCUG